This is a small nuclear RNA of Octodon degus (degu), 126 nucleotides long. The record is from Ensembl. NCBI's taxonomy places the organism in Eukaryota, Metazoa, Chordata, Mammalia, Rodentia, Octodontidae.
GUGUUGUAUGAAAAGGGAGACAGUUAGCACUGCCCCUGAGAGGGCUGGAAGAGGCCCCCGGGCCUGACAAUAUGCACAUGGUUAAGGCAUUGCCACCUACUUCAUGGCAUCUAACCACUGUUCUUA